GGGGGGGGGGGGGGGGGGGGGGGGGGGGGGGGGGGGGGGCGGGCAGGGGGGGGGCUGGCUGCUGUGGCGGUGGCGGCGGACGGGGGAGUAACGCGGGGAUAACCUACCUAUAAGACGGGGAGAGCUGCGGGAAACCGGGGCUAGGACCGGAGAAUAUCUUGAACCUCAUAGUUCACUAGUGAAAGACGGUUUUCCUGCCCCUUAUAGCUGCCUCCACCCCUCAUUAUCUAGUUGGUCAGGUAACGGCUUACCAAGCCAACGAUGCGUAGCCGCCCUGAGAGAGUGAUCGGACACACUAGAACUGAGGCACGGUCCAGACUCCUACGGGAGGCAGCAGUAGGGACUCUUCCGAAAUGGGCGAAAGCCUGACGGAGUAACGCCGAGUGAGUGAUGAAGGUCUUCGGAUCGUAGAACGCUGUUAUUAGGGAAGAACAAAUGUGUAAGUAACUAUGCACGGCUUGACGGUACCUAAUCAGAGAGCCACGGCUAACUACGUG
RNAcentral lists this ribosomal RNA (497 nucleotides) under uncultured bacterium. Its description in RNAcentral is "partial 16S ribosomal RNA". It matches the Rfam family "Bacterial small subunit ribosomal RNA", at positions 38 to 507 of the family's 1533-position model. The record is from RNAcentral.